GUGCUUGCUUUGGCAGCACAUAUACUAAUAUCGGAAUAAUCAUUAGCAUGGCCCCUGGUCAAGGAUGCCAUACAAAUUCAUGAAGAACAUAAGCAAAGA
RNAcentral lists this small nuclear RNA (99 nucleotides) under Nomascus leucogenys (northern white-cheeked gibbon). Lineage: Eukaryota; Metazoa; Chordata; Mammalia; Primates; Hylobatidae. The record is from RNAcentral.